Molecule: small nuclear RNA, 192 nt
Organism: Seriola lalandi dorsalis
Lineage: Eukaryota; Metazoa; Chordata; Actinopteri; Carangiformes; Carangidae
Gene: U2
Rfam family: U2 spliceosomal RNA
About the family: U2 is a small nuclear RNA (snRNA) component of the spliceosome (involved in pre-mRNA splicing). Complementary binding between U2 snRNA (in an area lying towards the 5' end but 3' to hairpin I) and the branchpoint sequence (BPS) of the intron results the bulging out of an unpaired adenosine, on the BPS, which initiates a nucleophilic attack at the intronic 5' splice site, thus starting the first of two transesterification reactions that mediate splicing.
Source: Ensembl
AUCGCUUCUCUGCCUUUUGGCUAAGAUCAAGUGUAGUAUCUGUUCUUAUCAGUUUAAUAUCUGAUAUGUCCUCUAUACGAGGACAAACAUAUUAAAGUGAUUUUGAGAGCUGGGAGCUGAAAAAGGGUCUUGCUCCGUUCGCUCCACGCAUCAUCCUGGCAUUGCAGUGCCGCCGGGUACGGUGCAACCUUC